Molecule: ribosomal RNA, 953 nt
Filed under: Cortinarius sp. 18 MD-2018
Lineage: Eukaryota; Fungi; Basidiomycota; Agaricomycetes; Agaricales; Cortinariaceae
Description: eukaryotic LSU rRNA
Rfam family: Eukaryotic large subunit ribosomal RNA
Source: RNAcentral
UGUGACCUCAAAUCAGGUAGGACUACCCGCUGAACUUAAGCAUAUCAAUAAGCGGAGGAAAAGAAACUAACAAGGAUUCCCCUAGUAACUGCGAGUGAAGCGGGAAAAGCUCAAAUUUAAAAUCUGGCAGUCUUUGGCUGUCCGAGUUGUAAUCUAGAGAAGUGUUAUCCGCGCUGGACCGUGUACAAGUCUCCUGGAAUGGAGCGUCAUAGAGGGUGAGAAUCCCGUCUUUGACACGGACUACCAGGGCUUUGUGAUGCGCUCUCAAAGAGUCGAGUUGUUUGGGAAUGCAGCUCAAAAUGGGUGGUAAAUUCCAUCUAAAGCUAAAUAUUGGCGAGAGACCGAUAGCGAACAAGUACCGUGAGGGAAAGAUGAAAAGAACUUUGGAAAGAGAGUUAAACAGUACGUGAAAUUGCUGAAAGGGAAACGCUUGAAGUCAGUCGCGUCGUCCAGGGAUCAACCUUGCUUUUGCUUGGUGCACUUUCUGGUUGACGGGUCAGCAUCAAUUUUGACCAUUGGAAAAAGAUCAGGGGAAUGUGACAUCUUUGGAUGUGUUAUAGCCCUUGGUUGCAUACGAUGGUUGGGAUUGAGGAACUCAGCACGCCGCAAGGCCGGGUUUUUAACCACGUACGUGCUUAGGAUGCUGGCAUAAUGGCUUUAAUCGACCCGUCUUGAAACACGGACCAAGGAGUCUAACAUGCCUGCGAGUGUUUGGGUGGAAAACCCGAGCGCGUAAUGAAAGUGAAAGUUGAGAUCCCUGUCGUGGGGAGCAUCGACGCCCGGACCAGACCUUUUGUGACGGUUCCGCGGUAGAGCAUGUAUGUUGGGACCCGAAAGAUGGUGAACUAUGCCUGAAUAGGGUGAAGCCAGAGGAAACUCUGGUGGAGGCUCGUAGCGAUUCUGACGUGCAAAUCGAUCGUCAAAUUUGGGUAUAGGGGCGAAAGACUAAUCGA